GACCCUGUGAGGUAGUGGUCAAGCCUAGCGUAUGAUAUCGUCUAUAAUCCGCGACGCUGGUUCGAAUCCAGCCGGGGUCA
This is a non-coding RNA of Xylaria palmicola, 80 nucleotides long. NCBI's taxonomy places the organism in Eukaryota, Fungi, Ascomycota, Sordariomycetes, Xylariales, Xylariaceae. The record is from the annotation of a GenBank genome assembly.